Molecule: ribosomal RNA, 699 nt
Filed under: uncultured Actinomycetes bacterium
Lineage: Bacteria; Bacillati; Actinomycetota; Actinomycetes
Description: bacterial SSU rRNA
Rfam family: Bacterial small subunit ribosomal RNA
Source: RNAcentral
UACCGGAUAGACCAUACUUUAUCUGUUGCUGGAAAGUCUUGUUCGCGCAAGAUGAGCCCGCGGCCUAUCAGCUCUUGUGGGGUAAUGGCCUACCAAGGCGACGACGGGUAGCCGGCCUGAGAGGGUGUACGGCCACAAUGGGACUGAGACACGGCCCAGACUCCUACUGGGAGGCUAGCACUCGGGGAAUAUUGCACAAUGGGCGCAAGCCUGAUGCAGCGACACCGCGUGGGGGAUGACGGCCUUCUGGGUUCGUAAACUCCUUUCGCUAGGGAAGAAGCCACUGUGUGGUGACGGUACCUCGGAUAUACGAAGCACCGGCUAACUACGUGCCAGCAGCCGCGGUAAUACGUAGGGUGCGAGCCGUUGUCCGGACAUUACUGGGCGUAAAGAGCUCGUAGGAUGGUGUUGUCGCGUCGUCUGAUGAAAUCCCGGGGCUUAACUUCGGGCGAUGCCGCGAUACGGGCUAUAACAUAGAGUGCUCGUAAGGGGAGACAUGGAAUUCCCUCGAGUGUAAUCGCGUGAUAAUAGCGCCACGAUAUCAGGAGGAACACCCGAUGGCGAAAGAGCACGGAUCUCUGGGCACGUUUACUGACGCUGUAGGUAGCGAAAGCAUGGGUAGCGCAACACGGAUUAGAUAUCCCCUGGUAUGUCCACUAGCCCGUAAUACGGUGGGCGCUAUGGUGUGGGGGUUUUAUU